GGGUUGUGAGGUUAAGCGACUAAGCGUACACGGUGGAUGCCCUGGCAGUCAGAGGCGAUGAAGGACGUGCUAAUCUGCGAUAAGCGCCGGUAAGGUGAUAUGAACCGUUAUAACCGGCGAUUUCCGAAUGGGGAAACCCAGUGUGAUUCGUCACACUAUCAUUAACUGAAUCCAUAGGUUAAUGAGGCGAACCGGGGGAACUGAAACAUCUAAGUACCCCGAGGAAAAGAAAUCAACCGAGAUUCCCCCAGUAGCGGCGAGCGAACGGGGAGGAGCCCAGAGCCUGAAUCAGCAUGUGUGUUAGUGGAAGCGUCUGGAAAGGCGCGCGAUACAGGGUGACAGCCCCGUACACAAAAGCGCAUGUGCUGUGAGCUCGAUGAGUAGGGCGGGACACGUGGUAUCCUGUCUGAAUAUGGGGGGACCAUCCUCCAAGGCUAAAUACUCCUGACUGACCGAUAGUGAACCAGUACCGUGAGGGAAAGGCGAAAAGAACCCCGGCGAGGGGAGUGAAAAAGAACCUGAAACCGUGUACGUACAAGCAGUGGGAGCCCCACCACCAAAGCAUUCUCUGGUGUUGAAGGCCCUGCAAAGCAGCAUCGCGGUGGCGGAGCGUCGUUUGCGACGCCCAACACACAAAACAAGCGGUGAGUGCUUUGGGGUGGGGUGACUGCGUACCUUUUGUAUAAUGGGUCAGCGACUUAUAUUCUGUAGCAAGGUUAACCGUAUAGGGGAGCCGUAGGGAAACCGAGUCUUAACCGGGCGUUAAGUUGCAGGGUAUAGACCCGAAACCCGGUGAUCUAGCCAUGGGCAGGUUGAAGGUUGGGUAACACUAACUGGAGGACCGAACCGACUAAUGUUGAAAAAUUAGCGGAUGACCUGUGGCUGGGGGUGAAAGGCCAAUCAAACCGGGAGAUAGCUGGUUCUCCCCGAAAGCUAUUUAGGUAGCGCCUCGUGAAUUCAUCUCCGGGGGUAGAGCACUGUUUCGGCUAGGGGGCCAUCCCGGCUUACCAACCCGAUGCAAACUGCGAAUACCGGAGAAUGUUAUCACGGGAGACACACGGCGGGUGCUAACGUCCGUCGUGAAGAGGGAAACAACCCAGACCGCCAGCUAAGGUCCCAAAGUCAUGGUUAAGUGGGAAACGAUGUGGGAAGGCCCAGACAGCCAGGAUGUUGGCUUAGAAGCAGCCAUCAUUUAAAGAAAGCGUAAUAGCUCACUGGUCGAGUCGGCCUGCGCGGAAGAUGUAACGGGGCUAAACCAUGCACCGAAGCUGCGGCAGCGAACGUAUCACUUAAAGCGAUUCAGCGGGUUACGAUUGACGGAGCGA
This 1325-nucleotide ribosomal RNA is filed under the name Salmonella enterica subsp. enterica serovar Virchow. Its description in RNAcentral is "partial 23S ribosomal RNA". It matches the Rfam family "Bacterial large subunit ribosomal RNA", at positions 1 to 1224 of the family's 2925-position model. Lineage: Bacteria; Pseudomonadati; Pseudomonadota; Gammaproteobacteria; Enterobacterales; Enterobacteriaceae. The record is from RNAcentral.